GAUGAAGAACGCAGCGAAAUGCGAUAAGUAAUGUGAAUUGCAGAAUUCAGUGAAUCAUCGAAUCUUUGAACGCACCUUGCACCCUUUGGUAUUCCGAAGGGUAUGCUCGUUUGAGUGUCAUUGUACUCUCACACUUCUAAUUCCUUUCGGGAUUGGGAGCGGUGGACUUGGGUGUUGCUGCUUUAGUUGUGGCUCACCUCAAAUAAGUUAGUGCAACUCUUGGUUGGACAUAGUACGGCGUGAUAAGUGUCUUCGCCGGCGCCUCUGUAAGGAGGGUGGCCGAUCGGGAGCUCUGUGCUUCAAACCGUCUUCGGACAAUCUUUGACAACUUGACCUCAAAUCGAGUAGGAAUACCCGCUGAACUUAAGCAUAUCAAUAAGCGAGGA
This 386-nucleotide unclassified non-coding RNA is filed under the name soil metagenome. RNAcentral describes it as "partial contains 5.8S ribosomal RNA, internal transcribed spacer 2, and large subunit ribosomal RNA". The stretch from base 1 to 120 matches the Rfam family "5.8S ribosomal RNA", at positions 35 to 154 of the family's 154-position model. The record is from RNAcentral.